GUUCACGCCAUUCUCCUGCCUCAGCCUCCUGAGUAGCUGGGACUACAGGCACCUGCCACCAUGCCCGGCUAAUUUUUUGUAUUUUUAGUAGAGACAGCGUUUCACACCGUGUUAGCCAGGAUGGUCUCCAUCUCCUGUCCUUGUGAUCUGCCAGCCUCGGCCUUCCAAAGUGCUGGGAUUACAGUCAUGAGCCACCAUGCCCGGCUGAUCUAAUGGUUUUAUAAAACGGAAAUUCCCCUGCACACACUCUCUUGCCUGCCGCCAUGUAAGACAUGCCUUUGCUCCUCCUUUGCCUCCCACCGUGACUGUGAGGCCUCCCCAGCCAUGUGAAACUCCUUGUUUCUAGAAAUCUGUGAGUAUCAAGACUUCUUCCUUCAUGACAGUCAUUUCCACGUCUGCAUGUUUUACCAUAUGCCAUGCAAACCCUGGGUUUAUUUUAAAACAAUUGGAACAGGGGAGUUUGACACCAGAGGGAGAUGUUAUGUCUUCAAGCUACUCUUGGUUUACGAACUGGAUCUGACAGACAGCAG
Molecule: long non-coding RNA, 530 nt
Filed under: Homo sapiens (human)
Lineage: Eukaryota; Metazoa; Chordata; Mammalia; Primates; Hominidae
Description: HSALNT0349391
Source: RNAcentral